GUAACACUGAAAGUCUUGCUGCUCCUCCACAAAAUGAACUUCAGAUUAAAGACACAGCUCAGCUAAACACAACUCAAACUAAUCUACACUAUUUUUCUUUAUUACGCAGCGUUUUUAUAACUAUUUCCAGAUGUUUCUAAAGAUGGAAACAGAAUUAAACUCCAGCCUGAUGCGUUUCUGAGGUUCCUGACUCUGACCGUCCCUCAAACGCCUCUCUGGGCGUUUCCUUCCGUCGCUUUUACUUUCGCUUUCGUGAAUGUUGUGGCGCAGCUGAUCGUCUCCAUGUUAAGACUAACUCCACCCUGACAUCAAGAAGAUGGAGGAAGAGGAUGGAGCAGGAUCUGCAGCAUCCAGCUGUGUGUCUGUGAGGAGUGACUGGUCCAAAGGAUUACUUCCAGACUUCAGUAAUGAACCUGCAGCAACAAUGAUCAAUAAGAGGCCAGAAUCUCCUGGACCUGAACCCAGCUGUGUUUCCUUAAAGAGCAACGACUCGAAGGAUAUCGGUAUAAACUUUAAAGGCUGUUCUUCUGCUGCUGAGAGAGGUCAGAGGUCACAGUCUGCAGGAUCCAGCUGUCCAUCUGUGAGGAGUGACCGGUCCAAAGUUUAACCUCCAGACUUCAGUGCUGAACCUGAACCAACGAGGUCAGAGAACUGUGAUGACUCCUUUACAUGUUUGUGUUUUCCUGGAUAAAUAUGACC
Non-coding RNA from Maylandia zebra (zebra mbuna), 699 nucleotides. The record is from RefSeq and is a predicted model, not a curated record. Lineage: Eukaryota; Metazoa; Chordata; Actinopteri; Cichliformes; Cichlidae.